This 1324-nucleotide ribosomal RNA is filed under the name metagenome. Its description in RNAcentral is "bacterial SSU rRNA". It matches the Rfam family "Bacterial small subunit ribosomal RNA", at positions 141 to 1459 of the family's 1533-position model. The record is from RNAcentral.
GGAUAACGUAGCGAAAGUUACGCUAAUACCGCAUAUUCUGUGAGCAGGAAAGCAGGGGAUCGCAAGACCUUGCGCUGAUUGAGCGGCCGAUAUCAGAUUAGCUAGUUGGUGAGGUAAAAGCUCACCAAGGCGACGAUCUGUAGCGGGUCUGAGAGGAUGAUCCGCCACACUGGAACUGAGACACGGUCCAGACUCCUACGGGAGGCAGCAGUGGGGAAUUUUGGACAAUGGGGGCAACCCUGAUCCAGCCAUGCCGCGUGAGUGAAGAAGGCCUUCGGGUUGUAAAGCUCUUUCAGCCGGGAAGAAAACGCAUGGGUUAAUACCCUGUGUGGAUGACGGUACCGGAAUAAGAAGCACCGGCUAACUACGUGCCAGCAGCCGCGGUAAUACGUAGGGUGCGAGCGUUAAUCGGAAUUACUGGGCGUAAAGCGUGCGCAGGCGGUUUUGUAAGACAGGCGUGAAAUCCCCGGGCUUAACCUGGGAACUGCGUUUGUGACUGCAAGGCUAGAGUACGGCAGAGGGGGGUGGAAUUCCACGUGUAGCAGUGAAAUGCGUAGAGAUGUGGAGGAACACCAAUGGCGAAGGCAGCCCCCUGGGUCGAUACUGACGCUCAUGCACGAAAGCGUGGGUAGCAAACAGGAUUAGAUACCCUGGUAGUCCACGCCCUAAACGAUGUCAACUAGGUGUUGGGAGGGUAAAACCUUUUAGUACCGGAGCUAACGCGUGAAGUUGACCGCCUGGGGAGUACGGCCGCAAGGUUAAAACUCAAAGGAAUUGACGGGGACCCGCACAAGCGGUGGAUGAUGUGGAUUAAUUCGAUGCAACGCGAAAAACCUUACCUACCCUUGACAUGCCAAGAACUUUCCAGAGAUGGAUUGGUGCCCGAAAGGGAACUUGGACACAGGUGCUGCAUGGCUGUCGUCAGCUCGUGUCGUGAGAUGUUGGGUUAAGUCCCGCAACGAGCGCAACCCUUGUCGUUAAUUGCCAUCAUUUAGUUGGGCACUUUAACGAGACUGCCGGUGACAAACCGGAGGAAGGUGGGGAUGACGUCAAGUCCUCAUGGCCCUUAUGGGUAGGGCUUCACACGUCAUACAAUGGUCGGUACAAAGGGUCGCCAAGCCGCGAGGUGGAGCCAAUCCCAGAAAGCCGAUCGUAGUCCGGAUCGCAGUCUGCAACUCGACUGCGUGAAGUCGGAAUCGCUAGUAAUCGUGGAUCAGCAUGUCACGGUGAAUACGUUCCCGGGUCUUGUACACACCGCCCGUCACACCAUGGGAGCGGGUUCCGCCAGAAGUAGGUAGCCUAACCGCAAGGAGGGCGCUUACCA